Mastomys coucha (southern multimammate mouse) is the source of this 137-nucleotide small nucleolar RNA. RefSeq annotates it as small nucleolar RNA SNORA48. The record is from RefSeq and is a predicted model, not a curated record. Lineage: Eukaryota; Metazoa; Chordata; Mammalia; Rodentia; Muridae. The transcript has a single exon.
UGUCCCCACUGGGCAAGAGAUACCUUGUUGGUGUUGUUCUUAUUAUCGGUCAGGGACAGAGCAGAUGGCAUCCUUUUUUCAUCCUAGCCUGAUGCCUGGCUUGGUGGCCAAAGCUGUUUUAUGUCUAGGACACAUCA